Molecule: ribosomal RNA, 253 nt
Filed under: uncultured bacterium
Lineage: Bacteria
Description: partial 16S ribosomal RNA
Rfam family: Bacterial small subunit ribosomal RNA
Source: RNAcentral
UACAGAGGUCUCGAGCGUUAGGCGGAAUCACUGGGCUUAAAGCGUGUGUAGGUGGAUCGUUAAGUACCUUGUGAAAUCCCCCGGCUUACCCGGGGAACUGCAUCCCAUACUGCUGGACUUGAGUGCGGGAGAGGAUGGAGGAAUUCCUGGUGUAGCGGUGAAAUGCGUAGAUAUCAGGAGGAACACCUGUGGCGAAGGCGUCCAUCUGGCCCGUUACUGACGCUGAGGCGCGAAAGCUAGGGGAGCAAACGGG